UUGUGUCCGAAACCCAUUUAUCUCUGUUCGUGCUCUGUUUUAACUACUAGUUGUCUCUUGAAAAAGUAAAGUCCCCUGUUUUUUCUCUGAAAAUGGCGUCCCAUAACAGGAAGAUGCUUUAUCCAUUUCAACCCGGACAAAAUUGCACCUUCGGGCUCUACUUCCCUUUUAUUCCGACAUACCCACCACCACCUCCGCCGCCGCAGAGAGAUCUCUCUGUUAUAGUCUCCACCUCAAUCUGCAUAAUAGGCUCACUCCUACUCUUCCUAUUCCUCAUCGUCUUCCUCUACCUCUACAUCACGAAGUCAUCAAGACGGAGGAGCUCACCUUCCGCAGUGGCUCCCGUCGUCAGCACCAGACGAAGAGAGGAAGAGAACGAAGAAGAAGAAGCCGGAGGAGGAGGAGAAAGAGAUCAUCAUCACUUCUGGAGCAUCGCAACGCUCGGUCUCCACCGCUCAGAUAUCGAUUCUAUAACAGUCGUCGUGUUCAAGAAGGGAGAAGGGAUCAUCGACGGCACGGACUGCUCCGUCUGCUUGAGCGAAUUCGAAGAGGGCGAAGGGGUUAGGCUGUUGCCGAAGUGUAGCCACGCCUUCCACGUCAGCUGCAUCGACACGUGGCUUCUCUCUCACAAGAACUGUCCUUUGUGCCGCGCCCCUGUUUUCUCCCCCGAGGUGCGUGAUAAAGAAACAGAGACGAGUCAUCAGACAGAGUCUGGAACAAGAGAUGAAGAGAGUUCGGGAUCGAGAAACGGUAAUGUUGUUCUUCCGAGGUCACAAAGCGAUUUGGCUAGCCGUUGCGGCGAAGGAAGGUUGGAGACUGUGAGAAGAUCGUUUUCGAUUGGAGGAAGCUCGUUAGUUAAAGCUGAAGGUGGAAGUAGAAGACACUUCUACAGCAGCUUCAGUGCUAAUUUCUUCUCUUCAUCAAGAAGAACAACGAACCAAGACUCGGUUCUCCCGAGCUGAAUGCCUUCUAGACCGUUUAAAUAUCUAGUGUUGUCGUAUUUGAAAUAAACGGAUUGUUUCAAUGGUUUGUUAAGAUUAUAUAAUGAUUUUAAAUAAAGAGAUAUGGGCAAUUAAGGUUAAAUUAAACAAGAACAAUUCUCACUGAGACAUUUCGUCGAACACGUUCAGGACUACAACAUCGAACUAAAGACUAAUUAAAAUCCAAGAAACAGAUUGAUAGAUAGCAUAAGAGUCUCUCAAGCUCUUUCGCCUCUGAUUCUUCUUGCCAGCUGGAUGUCCUUUGGCAUGAUUGUUACUCUCUUCGCGUGAAUCGCGCAGAGAUUCGUGUCUUCGAACAAACCAACAAGGUAAGCUUCGGCUGCUUCUUGAAGAGCUGCGACGGCGCUGCUCUGGAACCUCAGAUCGGUUUUGAAAUCCUGAGCGAUCUCACGGACAAGACGCUGGAAGGGGAGCUUGCGGAUCAGAAGCUCCGUGCUCUUCUGGUACUUCCUGAUCUCCCUCAACGCCACCGUUCCGGGACGGAAUCUGUGCGGCUUCUUCACCCCGCCGGUGGCCGGAGCGGAUUUUCUUGCGGCUUUCGUCGCGAGCUGCUUCCUUGGUGCUUUGCCUCCGGUGGAUUUCCUAGCGGUUUGCUUGGUACGAGCCAUAUCGAUAUCAAAAAAAUCACUACGAACAGUCUAGAGAAUGAGAAUGCAAAUGCGAAAGAAAGUUAAGUAGUGAAGAACAAAGGUUGAAGAUGUGUUGAUUUUAUAAGAAAGAGAAAUUGGCGGUGAGUUGGAAAAAGGGCUUGGUAAGUUGAUUUUGGGAUGCUUCAGACACAGAAUGGGCAAAGAGGGGAUUGUUCUUGCUGCUGUCAUGGCCAAUGCUAGUAGUAUAUUUUGCAGAGUUGGUAACCUUGAUGAUAAGAUGAAAGCUGAUUGCCUAAAGGUAAGAUAUUCUCUACUUUUGUAAAUAGUUUAGAUCCUCUUAGAAGAUGUUGUUCUGAAAUUUUUUUUUCUUUGUCAUCUUCAAGGUGAAGUUCUGCAACAAUAAUGGAGACCUCUUCACUCUUCUUUCGGUGUACAAAGAAUGGGCAUCUCUGCCGCGAGAGAGAAGAAACAAAUGGUGCUGGGAAAAUAGCCUGAACGCCAAAUCAAUGAGGAGAUGCGAAGACACAGUCAAGGAGCUGGAGAUAUGCAUUGAGAGAGAACUUUCUCUCGUCAGUCCAACCUACUGGGUUUGGAACUCAACCGAGGGUAAUGAUAAACACGAGAAGCAUCUGAAAAUGGUUAUACUUGCGUCUCUUGCCGAGAACGUGGCGAUGUACACUGGCUAUGAUCAGCUCGGGUACGAGGUAGCGUUGACUGGGCAACAAGUCCAGUUGCAUCCGUCGUGUUCGUUGCUAGCGUUUGGCCAGAAGCCAAACUGGGUUGUUUUCGGUGAGCUUCUGUCAGCUGUCGACCAGUACUUGGUAUGUGUAACCGCGUUUGAUUUCGAGGCUUUGUCUAUGCUUGAUCCACCUCCACCUUUUGAUGCAUCUCAUAUGGAUGAGUGGAGGCUCAGAGUGAAAAAGGUGGCUGGUUGUAGCAGCACUCUGCUGAAACGAUUCUGUGGGAAAUCUAACCGUAGUCUGCUUUCCAUCGUCUCUCGUGCUAGGUCUCUUUGUGAGGAUGAGAGGAUUAAUAUUCAAGUUGAUGUAGAUCAGAACGAGAUUCUACUAUAUGCGCCUCCCCACGACAUGGACAAAGUGUUGUCCCUAGUGAACGAUGCAUUGGAAUGCGAAAAGAAGUUGAUGCGUAACGAAUGUUUUGAGAAGUAUAUAUAUCAUGGUCGAGGAGAAGUACCCCUUGCACUGUUCGGAUCCGGCGCUCAGAUAAAGCAUCUUGAAGUUGAUCAGAGAUUCUUGACAGUCGAUGUACUCUAUUACGGCGACAACUCUCUUGAUGACAGAGAGAUUCUGACGUUCCUGGAGAAGGAGAUCGAUGGAUGUAUCUGCUCCAUUCAUAAGUUUGCUGGUAACAAGCAAGACUGUGAUGAGAAGGAGAAGUGGGGUAGGGUUACCUUUCGGACUCCGGAGUCUGCUAUGAAGGCAACAGAGAUUCAAAAGUUUGAUCUCAACGGAUCAGUGAUUAAACUAUUUCCAUCGCUGUCAGCUGGUGGUGAAGGAGUUUUCAAGAUGCCUUCUGUUACAGCUAUGAUUCGUUGGCCGCAAAGGGAAAGUUGUGGUAAAGGUGUUCUUAAGUGUGCUUCUGGUGAUAUUCACAGUAUCUUUGCUGGGUCAUCCGGCAUCAUGAUAGGAACAAAAUAUUGCCCCUUUGAGACGGAUCAAAGACACACUGAUUCUAUUUUGAUUACUGGUAUUGACACAAAUCUUUCGGAUGCUGAAGUUUUAGAUGUUUUGGAGUUCGCUACGCAGAGAACAGAUUUGGAAUUUUUCUUAUUCAGAAGAGGAAAUAUUGUGCAUUGUCAAGAUCUUACUGUUUGUAAAGAUAUGCUGCAUAAGAGAAUAUUUGCGCGCUUGUCAUCGAGGAAUCCAGACCCAAAGUGUGUUGAAGUCAAAGUCUUUGAACCAAAAGAAGCUAAUUUUGUGCGAGCGUUGAUUACUUUUGAUGGGAGAUUACAUCUGGAAGCUGCAAAAGCUUUGCAGGAGUUAGAUGGAACUAUUCUAGAUGGAUGCUAUCCAUGGCAGAAGAUAAAAUGCGAGCAAAAGUUUCAGAGCUCCAUAAUCUGUCCUGCUUUUAUCUACAACAUAGUCAGAAGACAAUUAUAUGCUAAGCUAGCAAGCUUCAAGAGACAAAGAAGUGAUUCCAUUGCCACAUUUGAGAUGUUUGCUCUCUAUCACCUAUUAUUCAUUAACAUUCUCUUUUAUGUAUUUUGCAGAAUGUGAAUGGCAUCUGGAGGCAAUUCAUAGUGGUGCUUAUCGUGUUAAAAUCUCCGCAAAUGCAACAAGACGCAUCUCGGAGAUGCGGAGAUCUCUCGAAGAACUCAUAAGAGGAAGACCCAUAAUAAACCAUCCAGGCUUAACCCCAAGGGUCUUGCAGCAUCUUUUGUCCAGAGAAGGUGUUAUCCUGAUGCGGAAGAUCCAACAGGAGACUGAAACUUGCAUUGUGGUAGACAGGCAGAGUCUCGCAGUACGCAUUUGUGGAUCAGAAGAGAGAACCGCUGCGGCUGAACAAGAGCUGGUUCGGUCGCUUCUGGCUUAUCACGAGAGCAAGCAGCUUGAAAUCCGCCUCCGAGGUCCGAAUCUCCGUCCUGAUCUCAUGAAGGAAGUUGUGAAUCGGUUUGGUCCAGAGCUCCAAGGUAUUAAAGAGAAGGUGAAUGGUGUGGAUCUCAAGCUCAACACUCGGAACCAUGUUAUUCAUGUUCAUGGGAGCGUGGAGAUGAGGCAGGAAGUAGAGAAGAUGGUCUAUGAACUUGCACGGGAAGAAGGUAGUGCACUGGGCGGUACUAAACCAGAUGAGAUUGAAGUUGAAUGCCCUAUUUGCUUGUCUGAGGUUGAGGAUGGCUACUCUCUCGAAGCAUGUUCACACCUCUUCUGCAAAGCUUGUUUGUUGGAACAGCUCGAGGCGUCGAUGAGAAACUUUGACGCAUUUCCCAUAAUCUGUUCUCACAUCGACUGUGGAGCUCCUAUAGUACUUGCUGAUAUGAGAGCCCUCUUAUCACAAGAGAAGCUCGACGAACUCUUCAGAGCAUCCCUCUCCUCUUUUGUAACAACCAGCGAUGGUGAGUUCCGGUUCUGCUCCACACCUGACUGCCCUUCCAUCUACCGCGUUGCCGGUCCUCUAGAUUCAGGGGAGCCAUUUUUCUGCGGAGCGUGUAACUCACAGACGUGCACGAGGUGCCACCUGGAGUAUCACCCGUACAUCACUUGCGAAAGGUACAAACUGUUCAAGGAGGAUCCUGACAUGUCGUUGAAGGACUGGGCGAAAGGGAAGAACGUGAAGGAGUGUCCGUGUUGCAAGUCGACGAUAGAGAAAUCUGAAGGGUGUAACCAUCUGCUGUGCCGGUGUGGGAAUCACAUUUGCUGGGUCUGCUUAAGGUGGUUCGCUCAACAAGAACCUUGUUAUGAACAUUUGAGAGGAGUCCAUGGUGGGAUAGGCCUCUUCGAUGAGCUAGGCAUGCCCAUGCUUUGAAGUACCUCUCCAAAAAAAUGUACAAAUUUGUUUUAAGUAGAGGUCCAUGUAUAUCUAUAUUGUGUAACAUUAUCUGGUUUGGUUCAUAUGUAAUUAUGUCGAGAGAUUGGUUCAGUAGUAUACCUUCUUUAACCAAUACAAACCGAAAACUCAUAAACUUGAUGCCAAGGUAUGAAGAGUUUUGGUAUCAACGACUUGAAGCUUGACUUGUUAACAUCACUGAAAACGCGUAAACGUCUACAGAGAGUUCACUAAUAAGUCUAGUUUUGGGUCAAGACAAAGUUGAAAGGAAACUACUUUCCAAAGACGUACAGAGACAUCCCUUUAAUGGCAUUUAUCACACACCUUCCACGAAAUUUCCACCCACUUCCAAACCCUAUCAAAGGACUGAUCCUCAAUUCUUAUUAGAGUCCGGUAGAUUGUGAUCUCUGUCCCCUUAUAAACUCAACACGUUCUUGGAAUUUUUGGGGUCAUGACUUGACUAUGUGUAGAUUCUAACGUCAAUAUGGGUUUUAAAUUUCAUCUAGUGCCCCUAUUUCUUCUCUCUUUCUUCAAGAGCAAAAACUUAGUUUUGUGUCCGAAACCCAUUUAUCUCUGUUCGUGCUCUGUUUUAACUACUAGUUGUCUCUUGAAAAAGUAAAGUCCCCUGUUUUUUCUCUGAAAAUGGCGUCCCAUAACAGGAAGAUGCUUUAUCCAUUUCAACCCGGACAAAAUUGCACCUUCGGGCUCUACUUCCCUUUUAUUCCGACAUACCCACCACCACCUCCGCCGCCGCAGAGAGAUCUCUCUGUUAUAGUCUCCACCUCAAUCUGCAUAAUAGGCUCACUCCUACUCUUCCUAUUCCUCAUCGUCUUCCUCUACCUCUACAUCACGAAGUCAUCAAGACGGAGGAGCUCACCUUCCGCAGUGGCUCCCGUCGUCAGCACCAGACGAAGAGAGGAAGAGAACGAAGAAGAAGAAGCCGGAGGAGGAGGAGAAAGAGAUCAUCAUCACUUCUGGAGCAUCGCAACGCUCGGUCUCCACCGCUCAGAUAUCGAUUCUAUAACA
Molecule: long non-coding RNA, 6121 nt
Filed under: Brassica napus (rape)
Lineage: Eukaryota; Viridiplantae; Streptophyta; Magnoliopsida; Brassicales; Brassicaceae
Description: long non-coding RNA (BNAP_LNC025053)
Source: RNAcentral